RNAcentral lists this ribosomal RNA (468 nucleotides) under uncultured bacterium. RNAcentral describes it as "partial 16S ribosomal RNA". It matches the Rfam family "Bacterial small subunit ribosomal RNA", at positions 28 to 507 of the family's 1533-position model. The record is from RNAcentral.
GACGAACGCUGGCGGCGUGCUUAACACAUGCAAGUCGAACGGAAAGGCCCUGCUUUUGUGGGGUGCUCGAGUGGCGAACGGGUGAGUAACACGUGAGUAACCUGCCCUUGACUUUGGGAUAACUUCAGGAAACUGGGGCUAAUACCGGAUAGGAGCUCCUGCUGCAUGGUGGGGGUUGGAAAGUUUCGGCGGUUGGGGAUGGACUCGCGGCUUAUCAGCUUGUUGGUGGGGUAGUGGCUUACCAAGGCUUUGACGGGUAGCCGGCCUGAGAGGGUGACCGGCCACAUUGGGACUGAGAUACGGCCCAGACUCCUACGGUAGGCAGCAGUGGGGAAUAUUGCACAAUGGGCGGAAGCCUGAUGCAGCAACGCCGCGUGCGGGAUGACGGCCUUCGGGUUGUAAACCGCUUUCGCCUGUGACGAAGCGUGAGUGACGGUAAUGGGUAAAGAGGCACCGGCUAACUACGUG